CAGAGAUGAUCUGCGGCCUGCGGGUGCCCUAGAAGCGCCAAGGACGGGUCGCCCUUGAGGCCCAGCGUGAGACGAGCGCCCCUGGUGGUCGAGCUGAUAAUUACUGCCGGUGACGUCACAGUCAUCGUCCAUCAACUGACACCCUCCAGGGCGCCGCAUGGGCUGCCGGGGAGCAGGAGUGCCAAAGCUGCUUGCUGUUACGUUUGAAAAUCUGGAAUGAACUACUUAUUCUGGCAGUAUGACUGAAGAAAUAUGAACUAAAAUCAUUUUGAAAACAUCCACAAAGUACUGUAACAAAAAAGGAAAGUUGUGUAUACUAAUAUUGUAAAGUGACUUGAUGAUCAUUGUAUACUUAUUAUAAUAAUUAGUACUGUAUAUUUGAAUACAUAAUCUAAAAUUACCUACUUUUGAAGCUAAUGAAUCUCUACAGAAUUCGUGAAUAUAUAUAUAUAUAUAUAUAUAUAUGCUUUUAAUAACAAUUCAUAUAAUUGAAGCAUAAUUAAGUUUUAAGCGUUAAGUAAAAACUACGUGUACAAAUGUCAAACAAGUGAUACGGCUUUGUACUGCACUUGACCAGAUAGACGUAAUGUUUUCUAAUCUUGCCGUAUGAGUGCAGCACUAGUCAACCCAUCUUCUUUUUGUUAUUCUGCGUUAGUUGUAAAUUUAUUUUUCAACUACAAAAUACAAACUAACACCACUUAAAUACAUUUGUUUGAGAGGGAAUGGAAAAGGUUUCAAUGGAUGAUCAUAAGCAAACCAUACAAGUGCUCUAAAGCUAGUAGUAAAUUUCACAACUAGUUCAGGCAAGUCCUAAACAAAGAAUCUUGUUAAAUUGUAUUAUUUAUAUAGACCAUAUACAGUCUGAUAUUAAUUACUUUCUGUAUAGUUAUCUAGUUGUCUGACAGUGAUAUAAAUAUUAUUAAUGCGCCUGGAAAUAUAAGUAUUAUCAUAAAUAUAUCUAAUCAGUUAAUAAUAUUAUCAUAAAUAACUAUUAUCACAUAGUGUCUGAUGUUUCAUUUUAAGAGUGUCAAGCUAAGAAAAUGAUAAACUAUGAAAAACA
Homalodisca vitripennis (glassy-winged sharpshooter) is the source of this 1060-nucleotide long non-coding RNA. RefSeq lists it as uncharacterized. The transcript is spliced from 2 exons. NCBI's taxonomy places the organism in Eukaryota, Metazoa, Arthropoda, Insecta, Hemiptera, Cicadellidae. The record is from RefSeq and is a predicted model, not a curated record.